This 481-nucleotide ribosomal RNA is filed under the name uncultured bacterium. RNAcentral's name for it is "bacterial SSU rRNA". It matches the Rfam family "Bacterial small subunit ribosomal RNA", at positions 28 to 521 of the family's 1533-position model. The record is from RNAcentral.
GACGAACGCUGGCGGCGUGCUUAACACAUGCAAGUCGAACGGUGACGAGGAGCUUGCUCCUCUGAUCAGUGGCGAACGGGUGAGUAACACGUGAGCAACCUGCCCCAGACUCUGGGAUAACAGUUGGAAACAGCUGCUAAUACCGGAUACGAGACGGAGAGGCAUCUCUACCGUCUGGAAAGUUUUUCGGUCUGGGAUGGACUCGCGGCCUAUCAGCUAGUUGGUGAGGUAAUGGCUCACCAAGGCGACGACGGGUAGCCGGCCUGAGAGGGCGACCGGCCACACUGGGACUGAGACACGGCCCAGACUCCUACGGGAGGCAGCAGUGGGGAAUAUUGCACAAUGGGCGAAAGCCUGAUGCAGCGACGCCGCGUGAGGGAUGACGGCCUCGGUUGUAACCUACUUCUACGAGGAAGAAGACGAAAGUAGACGGUACCUAGCAGAAGAAGACGACGACGACUAACGUGCCAGCAGCCGCGGU